RNAcentral lists this ribosomal RNA (253 nucleotides) under uncultured bacterium. RNAcentral's name for it is "partial 16S ribosomal RNA". It matches the Rfam family "Bacterial small subunit ribosomal RNA", at positions 524 to 776 of the family's 1533-position model. The record is from RNAcentral.
UACGUAGGGUGCAAGCGUUGUCCGGAAUUAUUGGGCGUAAAGAGCUCGUAGGCGGUCUGUUGCGUCGGCUGUGAAAACCCGAGGCUCAACCUCGGGCCUGCAGCCGAUACGGGCAGACUAGAGUUCGGCAGGGGAGACUGGAAUUCCUGGUGUAGCGGUGAAAUGCGCAGAUAUCAGGAGGAACACCGGUGGCGAAGGCGGAUCUCUGGGCCUUACCUGACGCUGAGGAGCGAAAGCAUGGGGAGCAAACAGG